Molecule: ribosomal RNA, 492 nt
Filed under: uncultured bacterium
Lineage: Bacteria
Description: partial 16S ribosomal RNA
Rfam family: Bacterial small subunit ribosomal RNA
Source: RNAcentral
AGUGAACGCUGGCGGUAGGCCUAACACAUGCAAGUCGAACGGCAGCACAGUAAGAGCUUGCUCUUACGGGUGGCGAGUGGCGGACGGGUGAGGAAUACAUCGGAAUCUACUUUUUCGUGGGGGAUAACGUAGGGAGACUUACGCUAAUACCGCAUACGACCUACGGGUGAAAGCAGGGGAUCUUCGGACCUUGCGCGAUUGAAUGAGCCGAUGUCGGAUUAGCUAGUUGGCGGGGUAAAGGCCCACCAAGGCGACGAUCCGUAGCUGGUCUGAGAGGGUGAUCAGCCACACUGGAACUGAGACACGGUCCAGACUCCUACGGGAGGAAGCAGAGGGGAAUAUUGGACAAUGGGCGCAAGCCUGAUCCAGCAAGACCGCGUGGGUGAAGAAGGCCUUCGGGUUGUAAAGCCCUUUUGUUGGGAAAGAAAAGCAGCAGGUUAAUACCCCGCUGUUCUGACGGUACCCAAAGAAUAAGCACCGGCUAACUUCGUG